UACGUAGGGUGCGAGCGUUAAUCGGAAUUACUGGGCGUAAAGUGUGCGCAGGCGGUUGAGCAAGUCGAGUGUGAAAGCCCCGGGCUUAACUUGGGAAUUGCGCUCGAAACUACUUGACUGGAGUGUGGCAGAGGAAGGUGGAAUUCCACGUGUAGCGGUGAAAUGCGUAGAGAUGUGGAGGAACACCAGUGGCGAAGGCGACUCUUUGGCCUGUAACUGACGCUGAGGCGCGAAAGCGCGGGGAGCAAACAGG
RNAcentral lists this ribosomal RNA (253 nucleotides) under uncultured bacterium. RNAcentral's name for it is "partial 16S ribosomal RNA". It matches the Rfam family "Bacterial small subunit ribosomal RNA", at positions 524 to 776 of the family's 1533-position model. The record is from RNAcentral.